This 407-nucleotide ribosomal RNA is filed under the name uncultured bacterium. RNAcentral describes it as "partial 16S ribosomal RNA". It matches the Rfam family "Bacterial small subunit ribosomal RNA", at positions 30 to 526 of the family's 1533-position model. The record is from RNAcentral.
AUUGAACGCUGGCGGCAGGCCUAACACAUGCACGUCGAGCGGAGCGGCGGACGGGUGAGUAAUGGAUGGGGAUAUGCCCGAUAGAGGGGGAUAACUACUGGAAACGGUGGCUAAUACCGCAUACUAUCGGAUGAACCCAUAUGGGAUUAGCUAGUAGGUGGGGUAAAGGCUCACCUAGGAGAAGAUCUCUAGCUGGUCUGAGAGGAUGAUCAGUCACACUGGAACUGAGACACGGUCCAGACGCCUACGGGAGGCAGCAGUGGGUAAUAUUGGACAAUGGGCGAAAGCCUGAUCCAGCCAUGCCGCGUGUGGGAAGAAGGUCUUCGGAUUGUAAAGCACUUUAAGUUGGGAGGCGUUACCAACAGAAUAAGCACCGGCUAACGUCGUGCCAGCAGCCGCGGUAAUAC